GCCAUUCUAGUAUAGUGGUUAGUACAGCUCGUUGUGGCCGUGCAGACCCAGGUUCGAUUCCUGGGAAUGGCA
Molecule: transfer RNA, 72 nt
Filed under: Zygosaccharomyces bailii ISA1307
Lineage: Eukaryota; Fungi; Ascomycota; Saccharomycetes; Saccharomycetales; Saccharomycetaceae
Also listed under: 1 other name
Description: transfer RNA-His(GTG)
Rfam family: tRNA
About the family: Transfer RNA (tRNA) molecules are approximately 80 nucleotides in length. Their secondary structure includes four short double-helical elements and three loops (D, anti-codon, and T loops).
Source: RNAcentral